UCUUGGAUGCGGUUUGGAUGUUGAAUGAUGGUUGGAUCUUAGAUGAGGGUUGGGCCUUGGAUCACGUUUGGAUCUUGGAUAAGAUUUGGAUGUUGUGUGAUGGUUGGAUCUUGGAUGAGGUUUGGAUCUUUGAUGAGGUUUGGAAGCUUUUUUUGGGAUCCAAAUUUCCAAUUGGGAUGAAACAGAACUCGUGGGUUCUCCACUGCCAAACUCUGUAAAUAGGAAGGGAUGUGACAAAACCUGACUUAAUUAAUUAAUUAAUUAAUUAAUGUGCUUUUUCAUCUUGCUGCUUUCCAGCCCAUGAAUUCCUUCUCCAGCUCUUUCCCUAAAAUCCUUUGGAGCUGAUCCUGAUUUUUUAAUUACUUGCACUCAGUGGUGAUGAAACAUUUCAAGGCUUUUCCAUAAUUCCUAAAAGAAGGGAAUAUUUUCAAUUAAAGUCUGAAGUUUACACUUGGCUCUGUUGAGAGCAGAGGUUCCCCUCCUAAAUUAUUGAUAUUCCAUAGGAAAAAUUCCCGUUUCAUCAAUCCCUACCUUUUCCAGCUCUUUUACCUCCAAGGAGCUGUUGUCAAAUAUUUAUUUUAAAUUAUUUUUUAGAUUUCAAUUUCGGUCGUUUUGGUGCCGCUUUCCAAUCCGACACUUUCAGUGCAAUAUUUUUAAACUGUGAAGCUUCAAACCCUUGGGUUCCGUGGGAAUUUUUCCCUUUUUUUUUUUUUUGGAAUCCAGCCUAAUUUUGGGAGAAAAAGACACCGAACCGUGUCGAGGGUGUUGUUUGCAAGGUUUGUAUUUCCUCAGCUUAGUUAGGACUGGAGUAAAAUUUAUUCCAAGUUUUUCCUGGCAUGCACUUUAUUGGAAAAUCUGGUGAUAAUUCCAUAUCCAUCAAUUAUUUCCUGGGAAUACAAUCCUCUUGGAGUUUCUCCUGUUGUUUCCCGCCCCCAAAUCGCUGCUGGUUUACCGUGAGAGGAGAAGGAACGUCCUGCGCCUCAUUUUUCCGUGGAUUUCCAAGUGGAUUUCGCACCAAAUCCAUGUUUGUUGAGGCUGGGAUGGGAUCUGGGAGUGGGAUGAGUCCAACCCAGAAUUCCCAAAAGGAAAUCGUUUGGAUUUGAGCGGGUUUUGGGUGUUCUUUGUGCCAUAUUUUUUAUCGUUGUGGGGUUUUAGCACCGACUCCGUAUUUUGUGGGUUGUGUUGAGUCCAACAUAUCCCAAAAAUCUUGGAAUAUUCCCUGGGAAACCCAUCCUGGAGCUGUACAUUGGCUGAAUUCCAUGUGCCAGAAGGAUUUUCCACCUGUAAUUCCUUAUUAAAUCUCUUGGAAUUGUGA
Motacilla alba alba is the source of this 1315-nucleotide long non-coding RNA. RefSeq lists it as uncharacterized. Lineage: Eukaryota; Metazoa; Chordata; Aves; Passeriformes; Motacillidae. The record is from RefSeq and is a predicted model, not a curated record. The transcript has 2 exons.